This 460-nucleotide ribosomal RNA is filed under the name uncultured bacterium. RNAcentral's name for it is "partial 16S ribosomal RNA". It matches the Rfam family "Bacterial small subunit ribosomal RNA", at positions 338 to 795 of the family's 1533-position model. The record is from RNAcentral.
CCUACGGGAGGCAGCAGUGAGGAAUAUUGGUCAAUGGACGAGAGUCUGAACCAGCCAAGUAGCGUGAAGGAUGACUGCCCUAUGGGUUGUAAACUUCUUUUAUAUGGGAGUAAAAUGUUCCACGUGUGGGUUUUUGUAUGUACCAUAUGAAUAAGGAUCGGCUAACUCCGUGCCAGCAGCCGCGGUAAUACGGAGGAUCCGAGCGUUAUCCGGAUUUAUUGGGUGUAAAGGGAGCGUAGGUGGAUUGUUAAGUCAGUUGUGAAAGUUUGCGGCUCAACCGUAAAAUUGCAGUUGAAACUGGCAGUCUUGAGUACAGUAGAGGUGGGCGGAAUUCGUGGUGUAGCGGUGAAAUGCUUAGAGAUCACGAAGAACUCCGAUUGCGAAGGCAGCUCACUGGACUGCAACUGACACUGAGGCUCGAAAGUGUGGGUAUCAAACAGGAUUAUAUACCCGUGUAGUC